GCGGGUGUAGCUCAGUUGGUAGAGCUCCAGCUUUCCAAGCUGGCUGUCGAGGGUUCGAAUCCCUUCGCCCGCU
This 73-nucleotide transfer RNA is filed under the name Kofleriaceae bacterium. RNAcentral's name for it is "tRNA-Gly". It matches the Rfam family "tRNA". From Rfam's summary of the family: Transfer RNA (tRNA) molecules are approximately 80 nucleotides in length. Their secondary structure includes four short double-helical elements and three loops (D, anti-codon, and T loops). The record is from RNAcentral. Lineage: Bacteria; Pseudomonadati; Myxococcota; Haliangiales; Kofleriaceae.